This 567-nucleotide ribosomal RNA is filed under the name uncultured Geobacter sp. RNAcentral's name for it is "bacterial SSU rRNA". It matches the Rfam family "Bacterial small subunit ribosomal RNA", at positions 23 to 568 of the family's 1533-position model. Lineage: Bacteria; Pseudomonadati; Thermodesulfobacteriota; Desulfuromonadia; Geobacterales; Geobacteraceae. The record is from RNAcentral.
CUCAGAACGAACGCUGGCGGCGUGCCUAACACAUGCAAGUCGAACGGAGUGAAGGAGCUUGCUCUUUCAUUUAGUGGCGCACGGGUGAGUAACGCGUAGAUAAUCUGCCUUGGACUCUGGGAUAACAUCUCGAAAGGGGUGCUAAUACCGGAUAAGCCCAGAUGGCGUAAGUCAUUGCGGGAAAAGGGGGCCUCUGAAUAUGCUCCUGAUUCAAGAUGAGUCUGCGUACCAUUAGCUAGUUGGUAGGGUAAGAGCCUACCAAGGCGACGAUGGUUAGCUGGUCUGAGAGGAUGAUCAGCCACACUGGAACUGAGACACGGUCCAGACUCCUACGGGAGGCAGCAGUGGGGAAUUUUGCGCAAUGGGGGAAACCCUGACGCAGCAACGCCGCGUGAGUGAUGAAGGCUUUCGGGUCGUAAAGCUCUGUCUAGAGGGAAGAAAUGAUAGUCGGUUAAUACCCGGUUUUCUUGACGGUACCUCUGAAGGAAGCACCGGCUAACUCCGUGCCAGCAGCCGCGGUAAUACGGAGGGUGCAAGCGUUGUUCGGAUUUAUUGGGCGUAAAGCGC